UACAAAGGGGGCUAGCGUUGCUCGGAAUCACUGGGCGUAAAGGGUGCGUAGGCGGGUCUUUAAGUCAGGGGUGAAAUCCUGGAGCUCAACUCCAGAACUGCCUUUGAUACUGAAGAUCUUGAGUUCGGGAGAGGUGAGUGGAGCUGCGAGUGUAGAGGUGAAAUUCGUAGAUAUUCGCAAGAACACCAGUGGCGAAGGCGGCUCACUGGCCCGAUACUGACGCUGAGGCACGAAAGCGUGGGGAGCAAACAGG
Molecule: ribosomal RNA, 253 nt
Filed under: uncultured bacterium
Lineage: Bacteria
Description: partial 16S ribosomal RNA
Rfam family: Bacterial small subunit ribosomal RNA
Source: RNAcentral